RNAcentral lists this ribosomal RNA (465 nucleotides) under uncultured bacterium. RNAcentral describes it as "partial 16S ribosomal RNA". It matches the Rfam family "Bacterial small subunit ribosomal RNA", at positions 29 to 507 of the family's 1533-position model. The record is from RNAcentral.
ACGCACGCUGGCGGCGCGCCUAACACAUGCAAGUCGAACGAGCGAGAGAGAGCUUGCUUUCUUGAGCGAGUGGCGAACGGGUGAGUAACGCGUGAGGAACCUGCCUCAAAGAGGGGGACAACAGUUGGAAACGACUGCUAAUACCGCAUAAGCCCACGACCCGGCAUCGGGUUGAGGGAAAAGGAGCAAUCCGCUUUGAGAUGGCCGCGCCUCCGAUUAGCUAGUUGGUGAGGUAACGGCCCACCAAGGCGACGAUCGGUAGCCGGACUGAGAGGUUGAACGGCCACAUUGGGACUGAGACACGGCCCAGACUCCUACGGGAGGCAGCAGUUGAGAAUAUUGCACAAUGGGGGGAACCCUGAUGCAGCGACGCCGCGUGGAGGAGGAAGGUCUUCGGAUUGUAAACUCCUGUUGUUGAGGAAGAUAAUGACGGUACUCAACAAGGAAGUGACGGCUAACUACGUG